GAGUUUGCUUUUGGCUCAGGACGAACGCUGGCGGCGUGCCUAACACAUGCAAGUCGAACGGAGUUAAGUGCUUCGGUAUUUAACUUAGUGGCGAACGGGUGAGUAACGCGUGAGGAACCUGCCUUUCAGUGGGGGACAACAGUUGGAAACGACUGCUAAUACCGCAUGAUACUUUUUGGAGGCAUCUCUGAAAAGUCAAAGCUUUAUGUGCUGAAAGAUGGUCUCGCGUCUGAUUAGAUAGUAGGCGGGGUAACGGCCCACCUAGUCUUCGAUGGAUAGGGGUUCUGAGAGGAAGGUCCCCCACAUUGGAACUGAGACACGGUCCAAACUCCUACGGGAGGCAGCAGUGAGGAAUAUUGGUCAAUGGACGAGAGUCUGAACCAGCCAAGUAGCGUGAAGGAUGAAGGUUCUAUGGAUUGUAAACUUCUUUUAUACGGGAAUAAACGGAUCCACGUGUGGAUUUUUGCAUGUACCGUAUGAAUAAGGAUCGGCUAACUCCGUGCCAGCAGCCGCGGUAAUACGGAGGAUCCGAGCGUUAUCCGGAUUUAUUGGGUUUAAAGGGAGCGUAGAUGGGUUGUUAAGUCAGUUGUGAAAGUUUGCGGCUCAACCGUAAAAUUGCAAUUGAUACUGGCAGUCUUGAGUACAGUUGAGGUAGGCGGAAUUCGUGGUGUAGCGGUGAAAUGCUUAGAUAUCACGAAGAACUCCGAUUGCGAAGGCAGCUUACUAACCUGUAACUGACAUUGAUGCUCGAAAGUGUGGGUAUCAAACAGGAUUAGAUACCCUGGUAGUCCACACGGUAAACGAUGAAUACUCGCUGUUUGCGAUAUACAGCAAGCGGCCAAGCGAAAGCGUUAAGUAUUCCACCUGGGGAGUACGCCGGCAACGGUGAAACUCAAAGGAAUUGACGGGGGCCCGCACAAGCGGAGGAACAUGUGGUUUAAUUCGAUGAUACGCGAGGAACCUUACCCGGGCUUAAAUUGCAGAUGAAUUACGGUGAAAGCCGUAAGCCGCAAGGCAUCUGUGAAGGUGCUGCAUGGUUGUCGUCAGCUCGUGCCGUGAGGUGUCGGCUUAAGUGCCAUAACGAGCGCAACCCUUGUUGUCAGUUACUAACAGGUUCCGCUGAGGACUCUGACAAGACUGCCAUCGUAAGAUGUGAGGAAGGUGGGGAUGACGUCAAAUCAGCACGGCCCUUACGUCCAGGGCUACACACGUGUUACAAUGGGGGGUACAGAGGGCCGCUACCACG
RNAcentral lists this ribosomal RNA (1246 nucleotides) under uncultured bacterium. RNAcentral's name for it is "bacterial SSU rRNA". It matches the Rfam family "Bacterial small subunit ribosomal RNA", at positions 9 to 1257 of the family's 1533-position model. The record is from RNAcentral.